RNAcentral lists this ribosomal RNA (485 nucleotides) under uncultured bacterium. RNAcentral's name for it is "partial 16S ribosomal RNA". It matches the Rfam family "Bacterial small subunit ribosomal RNA", at positions 29 to 523 of the family's 1533-position model. The record is from RNAcentral.
AGUGAACGCUGGCGGCGUGCUUAACACAUGCAAGUCGAACGAGAACGGAAUAUAGCUUGCUAUAUUUGUCAGCUAAGUGGCGCACGGGUGAGUAAUGUAUAGAUAACCUGCCCUUAAGAAAGGAAUAACAGUUGGAAACGACUGCUAAUGCCCUAUAUGCCUUUAAUACAUAAGUAUGCAAGGGAAACGAUUUAGUGCUUAAGGAUGGGUCUGUAUGGUAUCAGCUUGUUGGUGAGGUAAUGGCUCACCAAGGCUAUGACGCAUAACUGGUUUGAGAGGAUGAUCAGUCACACUGGAACUGAGACACGGUCCAGACUCCUACGGGAGGCAGCAGUGGGGAAUAUUGCACAAUGGACGAAAGUCUGAUGCAGCAACGCCGCGUGGAGGAUGACACAUUUCGGUGCGUAAACUCCUUUUAUAUUGGAAGAUAAUGACGGUACUAUAUGAAUAAGCACCGGCUAACUCCGUGCCAGCCGCCGCAGUAA